Cercophora sp. LCS_1 is the source of this 87-nucleotide non-coding RNA. The record is from the annotation of a GenBank genome assembly. NCBI's taxonomy places the organism in Eukaryota, Fungi, Ascomycota, Sordariomycetes, Sordariales, Lasiosphaeriaceae.
GCCCGUUUAGCUCAGCUGGUAGAGCGCAGCACUCGUAUCUUAUCAUGUGCGAUGCUGAGGUCGCUUGUUCGAUCCAGGCAGGGGGCA